This 614-nucleotide ribosomal RNA is filed under the name uncultured archaeon. RNAcentral describes it as "bacterial SSU rRNA". It matches the Rfam family "Archaeal small subunit ribosomal RNA", at positions 312 to 929 of the family's 1478-position model. The record is from RNAcentral.
GGCCCCAGGCCCUACGGGGCGCAGCAGGCGCGAAAACUCCGCAAUGCACGAAAGUGUGACGGGGUCAGCCCGAGUGCCAACUGAAAAUGUUGGCUUUCACCUGCGUAAAUAGCCGGUGGAAUAAGGGGAGGGCAAGGCUGGUGCCAGCCGCCGCGGUAAAACCAGCUCCUCGAGUAGUCAAGACGAUUAUUGGGCCUAAAGCGUCCGUAGCCGGCCUAGUAAGUCUCUGGUUAAAUCUAACGGCUCAACCGUUAGGCUGCUAGAGAUACUGCUAGACUCGGAGGCGGGAUAGGUCGAGGGUACUCUCAGGGUAGGGGUGAAAUCCUAUAAUCCUGAGGGGACCACCAGUGGCGAAGGCGCUCGACUGGAACGCGCUCGACGGUGAGGGACGAAAGCCAGGGGAGCGAACCGGAUUAGAUACCCGGGUAGUCCUGGCCGUAAACGAUGUGGACUAAGUGUUAGGGCGGCCACGAGCUGCCCUAGUGCUGGAGGGAAGCCGUUAAGUCCACCGCCUGGGGAGUACGGCCGCAAGGCUGAAACUUAAAGGAAUUGGCGGGGGAGCACCACAAGGGGUGAAGCCUGCGGUUUAAUUGGACUCAACGCCGGAAAUCUUA